AUCACCUCCAGCAUUCCCAGUAUUGGAGGCACUGCCUGCCCGGUGACAUUAGUUAAACGGCCGCGGUAUUCUGACCGUGCAAAGGUAGCAUAAUCAUUUGUUCUCUAAAUAAGGACUUGUAUGAAAGGCCACACGAGGGUUUAACUGUCUCUUACUUCCAAUCAGUGAAAUUGACCUUCCCGUGAAGAGGCGGGAAUAAAGCAAUAAGACGAGAAGACCCUAUGGAGCUUUAAUUAACUAGCUCAAAAGAAUCUAUCUACCAGACCGACAGGAACAACAUACUCCUUCCAUGAGCUAACAAUUUAGGUUGGGGCGACCUCGGAGCACAAAACAACCUCCGAGUGAUAUUAAUCUAGACGUACCAGUCAAAAUGCUCACUUACUUAUUGAUCCAAAAACCUCUUUGAUCAACGGAACAAGUUACCCUAGGGAUAACAGCGCAAUCCUAUUUAAGAGUCCAUAUCGACAAUAGGGUUUACGACCUCGAUGUUGGAUCAGGACAUCCUAAUGGUGCAGCAGCUAU
Molecule: ribosomal RNA, 522 nt
Filed under: Ursus thibetanus (Asiatic black bear)
Lineage: Eukaryota; Metazoa; Chordata; Mammalia; Carnivora; Ursidae
Description: partial 16S ribosomal RNA
Rfam family: Bacterial large subunit ribosomal RNA
Source: RNAcentral